UUAGGAAUUUUGCGCAAUGGGAGAAAUCCUGACGCAGCAACGCCGCGUGGGUGAUGAAGGCCUUCGGGUUGUAAAACCCUUUUAGCGGGAACGAAAAAAAUGACGGUACCCGCAGAAAAAGCACCGGCUAACUCUGUGCCAGCAGCCGCGGUAAUACAGAGGGUGCUAGCGUUAUUCGGAAUGACUGGGCGUAAAGCGCGUGUAGGCGGUUCGGUAAGUCUGAUGUGAAAGCCCCCGGCUCAAUCGGGGAAGUGCAUCGGAUACUGCCGGGCUGGAGUGCAGGAGGGGAGAACGGAAUUCCUGGUGUAGAGGUGAAAUUCGUAGAUAUCAGGAGGAACAACGGUGGCGAAGGCGGUUCUCUGGACUGUAACUGACGCUGAGACGCGAAAGCGUGGGGAGCAAACAGG
This 407-nucleotide ribosomal RNA is filed under the name uncultured bacterium. RNAcentral's name for it is "bacterial SSU rRNA". It matches the Rfam family "Bacterial small subunit ribosomal RNA", at positions 355 to 776 of the family's 1533-position model. The record is from RNAcentral.